AUCGAACAAUCUAGAACACCAAGGGACAGGCUGGACUUAGAACUAUGGCAGUCACGACCCUCCAGGACACCAACAGACACACUGGCUGAGGAUCAUGGCUGAUGGAAUGUUCCAGAAUACCAGGGGACAUGCUGGGCAUUCUGGAGUACGAGGAAUCCCUGUGUUCUGCGGACUUGGCUGCGAAGCUUCCUUUCUUUGAGAACAAAUGGCAGGAAGGCCCCACUCCUGCGUCGCCGUCGCCGGCUGGGGCGGAGCUGCGCGCAUGUCUUCCCCCCAUGCCGCAGUGCUGUGGCCAGCUUCUCGGCGUCACAGAAAUGUGGGUGAGCACAGGAACCCCGGGACCGGCUGGUGGGUGGUGGCUGCCCUGUGAUGGAGGCAGGGACCCCGCGUGCCCCCGGGGUCCAUUACUCUGCCCAGAGCCGCCCCUGCAGUGGGGCUUCGACCCGAUCAGGUGGGACCUGGGGACUCCGCGUCACCACAGCGAGGGGUCUGGCGACCUUUGCGUCCAUGCCCUGUGUUUUCGGAUGAGGACACUUCCCGGCUCAUGACACACUGGCAUUUAUUAGCCUCUCCCUGCUCAGAAGCCGCGGCUGGCUGCCCACGCCUGAGGGGAGCUCUCAGACGUAAAGCCUCCGUGGCCUGCCUGCACCUGCGACUCUGUCUCCGUCUCACCUCUCCUCUGUCUCUGCGUCUCCGCCUGCAUUUCUGUCUCUGCCACCGCUGUCUCAGUCGCCGUUUCCUCACCCGCUCCGCCAGUCCCUGCCGCUGCAGUCCUUGUCUUCUCCACCCGCAUCUCUGGCAUUUUACCCCUGCUGUCUCUGCCGCCGUCUCCGUCUCUCUCCCUCUCUCUCUCUCUCUCUCUCUCUCUCUCUCUCUCUCUCUCUCCCUCUCUCUCUCUCUCUCUCUCUCUCUCUCUCUCUCUCUCUCUCUCUCUCUGCUCUGCUGCACCAGGGAGCUCCUGAGCCAAAGCUGUGCGCUCUAGGGCAGCCUCUCACUCUGCACAGUUGCUUGGUCGUGUG
Molecule: long non-coding RNA, 1019 nt
Filed under: Fukomys damarensis (Damara mole-rat)
Lineage: Eukaryota; Metazoa; Chordata; Mammalia; Rodentia; Bathyergidae
Description: lncRNA (ENSFDAG00000027821.1)
Source: RNAcentral